GCGCGCAGUCUCUGGUCACUGCCGCCCGGGGGCUUUUGCCAGCGGCGCCGCGGGCCUGCGUGCUGGGGCAGCGGGCACUUCUUCGACCUCGUCCUCCUCGUCCUGUGCGGCCGGCCGGGUGAGGCCGGGCCCGCGUAGGGGGCAGUCGGCGGCUGCCUCCGGCGGAGGUGCCUCGCGGCGCCCGGGCCGGCCCGCGCCUCGGCGGCGUGCUCCAUGCAUCCGGAGCCCGCCCCGCCCCCGAGCCGCAGCAGUCCCGAGCUUCCCCCAAGCGGCGGCAGCACCACCAGCGGCAGCCGCCGGAGCCGCCGCCGCAGCGGGGACGGGGAGCCCCCGGGGGCCCCGCCCCGCCACCGCCGCCGUCCGCCGUCACCUACCCGGACUGGAUCGGCCAGAGUUACUCCGAGGUGAUGAGCCUCAACGAGCACUCCAUGCAGGCGCUGUCCUGGCGCAAGCUCUACUUGAGCCGCGCCAAGCUUAAAGCCUCCAGCCGGACCUCGGCUCUGCUCUCCGGCUUCGCCAUGGUGGCAAUGGUGGAGGUGCAGCUGGACGCUGACCACGACUACCCACCGGGGCUGCUCAUCGCCUUCAGUGCCUGCACCACAGUGCUGGUGGCUGUGCACCUGUUUGCGCUCAUGAUCAGCACCUGCAUCCUGCCCAACAUCGAGGCGGUGAGCAACGUGCACAAUCUCAACUCGGUCAAGGAGUCCCCCCAUGAGCGCAUGCACCGCCACAUCGAGCUGGCCUGGGCCUUCUCCACCGUCAUCGGCACGCUGCUCUUCCUAGCUGAGGUGGUGCUGCUCUGCUGGGUCAAGUUCUUGCCCCUCAAGAAGCAGCCAGGCCAGCCAAGGCCCACCAGCAAGCCCCCCGCCAGUGGCGCAGCAGCCAACGUCAGCACCAGCGGCAUCACCCCGGGCCAGGCAGCUGCCAUCGCCUCGACCACCAUCAUGGUGCCCUUCGGCCUGAUCUUUAUCGUCUUCGCCGUCCACUUCUACCGCUCACUGGUUAGCCAUAAGACUGACCGACAGUUCCAGGAGCUCAACGAGCUGGCGGAGUUUGCCCGCUUACAGGACCAGCUGGACCACAGAGGGGACCACCCCCUGACGCCCGGCAGCCACUAUGCCUAGGCCCAUGUGGUCUGGGCCCUUCCAGUGCUUUGGCCUUACGCCCUUCCCCUUGACCUUGUCCUGCCCCAGCCUCACGGACAGCCUGCGCAGGGGGCUGGGCUUCAGCAAGGGGCAGAGCAUGGAGGGAAGAGGAUUUUUAUAAGAGAAAUUUCUGCACUUUGAAACUGUCCUCUAAGAGAAUAAGCAUUUCCUGUUCUUCCAGCUCCAGGUCCACCUCCUGUUGGGAGGCGGUGGGGGGCCAAAGUGGGGCCACACACUCGCUGUGUCCCCUCUCCUCCCCUGUGCCAGUGCCACCUGGGUGCCUCCUCCUGUCCUGUCCGUCUCAACCUCCCUCCCGUCCAGCAUUGAGUGUGUACAUGUGUGUGUGACACAUAAAUAUACUCAUAAGGACACCUCCUUCCCGUGUCUUGUAUUUGUUGGGCCUGGGCUACUGCUCACCCUGGUUAGGUGAGCCUCUAGGAAAACUUAAAACAAAUUUUAAGCCAGGUAUGGUGGCACAUACCUGUGGUCUCAGCUAUUCAGGAGGCCAAGGCAGGAGGAUCUCUUGAGCCCAGGAGUUUGAGACCCCAUCUCAAACAAAAAAUACAAAAAUUAGCCAGCCACGGCGCCUGCACUUCCAGCUCCUUUGAGAGACUGAGGCAGGAAGAUUGCCUAAGCCCAGGAGGCCAAGUCUGCAGUGAGCUAUGGUAACACCACUGCACUCCAACCUGGGCAACAGAGGGAGACUCUGUCUCUAAAAAAAUAGAAAAAUUUGCCCUGCAUGGUGGCUCACGCCUGUAAUCCUAGCCCUUUGGAAGGCCAAGGCGGGCAGAUCACUUGAGGUCGGGAGUUCGAGACCAGCCUGACCAACAUGGAGAAACCCCAUCUGUACUAAAAAUACAAAAUUAGCUGGGUUUGGUGGCGCAUGCUUGUAAUCCCAGCUACUCGGGAGGCUGAGGCAGGAGAAUCGCUUGAACCCAGGAGGCGGAGGUUGCAGUGAGCUGAGAUCGCGCCAUUGCACUCCAGCCUGGGCAACAACAGUGAAACUCCGUCUCAAAAAAAAAAGAAAAAAAAAUUCAACAUUUUAUUUUGAGAAAUUUCAAACCUACAAAAAGUUGCAGGAAUAGUGUCUAUCUGAAAUACAUAUUCAGUCUUUUCUUUAGAAGUCUUUUUUUUUUUUUUUUUUUUAAAUAGAGCCUCACUCUGUCACCCAGGCUGGAGUGCAGUGGCGCGAUCUGUAAAAUCACUGUGAGCACUGACUUAGCACAUACUGGACCGUUGCUCCUAGGAGAAAUACAGGGUUGCGUUCCUGUGAGCUUUGGUCGUGAUAUUUUCAUCAGCUGAUCAAUAUGUAAUCUUGUUUUAUGUGUAUUUCUGUUUAAAGAUUCAUAUAUAUAUGUGUAUAUAUAUAUAUGGUUGAGUUGUUACCGUUGAACUCACAGCCCACAGGACUAGAACACAUGCCUAAAUAAAGUUUAUCUAACAUA
RNA transcript from Homo sapiens (human), 2590 nucleotides. It is a transcript of the gene named ORAI calcium release-activated calcium modulator 1, transcript variant 1, non-coding, with no coding region annotated. The record is from RefSeq and is marked validated. The transcript has 2 exons. Lineage: Eukaryota; Metazoa; Chordata; Mammalia; Primates; Hominidae.